Molecule: non-coding RNA, 67 nt
Filed under: Polytomella parva
Lineage: Eukaryota; Viridiplantae; Chlorophyta; Chlorophyceae; Chlamydomonadales; Chlamydomonadaceae
Source: RNAcentral
AAAAAGAAAGCAAGAAAACGAGAAAAGCAAAAAGAAAAUCAACCGAGGAAGAAUUGUUUUCAGAAUC